AUUGAACGCUGGCGGCAUGCCUUACACAUGCAAGUCGAACGGCAGCACGGGUGCUUGCACCUGGUGGCGAGUGGCGAACGGGUGAGUAAUACAUCGGAACAUGUCCUGUAGUGGGGGAUAGCCCGGCGAAAGCCGGAUUAAUACCGCAUACGAUCCACGGAUGAAAGCGGGGGACCUUCGGGUCUCGCGCUAUAGGGUUGGCCGAUGGCUGAUUAGCUAGUUGGCGGGGUAAAGGCCCACCAAGGCGACGAUCAGUAGCUGGUCUGAGAGGACGACCAGCCACACUGGGACUGAGACACGGCCCAGACUCCUACGGGAGGCAGCAGUGGGGAAUUUUGGACAAUGGGCGAAAGCCUGAUCCAGCAAUGCCGCGUGUGUGAAGAAGGCCUUCGGGUUGUAAAGCCCUUUUGUUCGGAAAGAAAUCCUUGACUCUAAUACAGUCGGGGGAUGACGGUACCGGAAGAAUAAGCACCGGCUAACUACGUG
This 486-nucleotide ribosomal RNA is filed under the name uncultured bacterium. RNAcentral's name for it is "partial 16S ribosomal RNA". It matches the Rfam family "Bacterial small subunit ribosomal RNA", at positions 30 to 507 of the family's 1533-position model. The record is from RNAcentral.